Molecule: small RNA, 107 nt
Filed under: Marmota monax (woodchuck)
Lineage: Eukaryota; Metazoa; Chordata; Mammalia; Rodentia; Sciuridae
Source: RNAcentral
GCUGGGCAUGGUGGUGCAGGCCUGUAAUCCCAGUAGCUUGAGAGGCUGAGGCAGGAGGAUCACUAGUUCAAAGCCAGCCUUAGCAACUUAUCAAGGCCCUGUCUCUA